CUAAAGGCCCUAAAGAUUGAUGCUUUACAACGUUUGACAUGUUUGAACGAACGUAAAUAGAUUUUUUUUUUACUUUUCUUUUCGGCGCGCUUCCUACAUUUGGAGUAGCUGAACAGAACGCGCGAACAACAAGGAGCAAUUUGGACAUAAAUUAUGGAGUUUAUCGAACAAAACAACAUUUAUUGUGGACCUGGGAUUCCUGGAAGUGCCUUCUGAUGAAGAUUAUUAAAGAUCCACAGAUGAUGCAAUCUCUACUGCACUCCACACUUCCCUUUCACACCUGGACAAAAGGAACACCUAUGUGAGAAUGCUAUUCAUUGACUACAGCUCAGCGUUCAACACCAUAGUGGCCUCAAAGCUCAAACCUAAACACCUACCUCUGCAACUGGAUCCUGGACUUCCUGACGGGGCUGACCUUCAUGUGCAGAGGUUUGUCCGACAUAAGGAACUCACAGGUCGUCUCACUAUCCUCCGGAGUGUACUGGAUCUUACGGAUGGCAAGACGCACAGAGCUCCUGUGGGAUACCGAGAGCAACGAUCAGUAGCCUGGUGGCUUGGGGAAGAACUGUCAUGCAGUCCAACACUUGAUUCUGAAAUGAAAUGAAUUGGACCUGUAGUGCAGUAAACCAGAACAUACAAAUAUCCAGAGCAACAAAAG
This 658-nucleotide long non-coding RNA is filed under the name Salmo salar (Atlantic salmon). Its description in RNAcentral is "lncRNA (ENSSSAG00000108241.1, ENSSSAG00020016991.1, ENSSSAG00075061941.1)". The record is from RNAcentral. Lineage: Eukaryota; Metazoa; Chordata; Actinopteri; Salmoniformes; Salmonidae.